This 292-nucleotide unclassified non-coding RNA is filed under the name Hevea brasiliensis (rubber tree). The record is from RNAcentral. Lineage: Eukaryota; Viridiplantae; Streptophyta; Magnoliopsida; Malpighiales; Euphorbiaceae.
GCAGAAUCAGAACUAGAAUCACUAGCAAGGUAAUAGAACACCACCGAGCUUCCAGCCAAGAAAUUCUAAUCCACCUCUUUAACAUCCUCCUCAGCCUUAAGAGCAAAAAUCCAAUCUAUAGGUUAUGAUAGAGAACUUCUUGGUAACACAACAAUAGCAGAAUGAGGUAAUCGAGCAACACACUUCCAAGCUAGACCUAUAAGUGACCCACAAUAGAAUGCUUAAGGACUAAAUAGCUCAACAAGCGAGUUCUUCCAAUAAAGCCUUAGGUAAGCUACCUUGCUAACUCGAG